CAGUAGCCUCGGGAAUACGUAGGGUGCAAGCGUUAAUCGGAAUUACUGGGCGUAAAGCGUGCGCACGCGGUUUGUUAAGACAGAUGUGAAAUCCCCGGGCUCAACCUGGGAACUGCAUUUGUGACUGGCAGGCUAGAGUAUGGCAGAGGGGGGUGGAAUUCCGCGUGUAGCAGUGAAAUGCGUAGAUAUGCGGAGGAACACCGAUGGCGAAGGCAGCCCCCUGGGCCAAUACUGACGCUCAUGCACGAAAGCGUGGGGAGCAAACAGGAUUAGAUACCCGCGUAGUCCCUGUCUCUUAUAC
This 301-nucleotide ribosomal RNA is filed under the name uncultured bacterium. Its description in RNAcentral is "partial 16S ribosomal RNA". It matches the Rfam family "Bacterial small subunit ribosomal RNA", at positions 509 to 807 of the family's 1533-position model. The record is from RNAcentral.